CACAUGGGAAUUCAAGAUGAGACUGGGGUGGGGACACAGCCAAACCAUAUCAGUAGGUAAAGAAGAAAAGAGGACUGAGCCCUGAUGGCAUUAGGAGGUCAAGAUGAUGACAAGGGUCCUGCAGAAAGAUCUGAAUAAAGGAGAUCUUAGGGGUUUUACCCAAACAUCAGGUAUUAAUAAUUCUCAACUGGCUGUUAAGAAAGAGGCAUUAGAGAGUGAUGUGGAAGCUCCAUGUGCAUGGCUGGGGCUUACGAUUGGUCAGGAGGCAGCUUUUUUCUGGAGAACCCCCAAAGUAUCUGUAGGUAAUCUUCCUGGUACCACUCGGUUUCUCUAGAGACAACUCUUUAAACCUCCUUCAGCAGUUGAAGGAAAGAGGGUUGGAGAUAGGAUAAUAGGCCUGACUUUUGAGAGUGCAAUAGGUAAAGACAGGAAGGUUUUUCGACUGUGCAGUGUGCAGCAUGCAGAUUCUGACUGUUUUCAGGACAGAAUUUUACCCCCACCCUCUAUUGUUCCUGAAGUCCCCAAUAGCCUCUGGUUCUGUUUCUCCAGGCAAUAAGCCUCCCACCUCCUGUGAUGGGGAGCAGGGUGGGGCUCAGGAGUGGGAAGCAUAGGUGGAGGGCAGCUAAGCCCUCCUUAUUCAGUCUUUCAACCACUCUUAUGUUCCAGCCUUUGGCCUCUAAGGUACGUGGGAUGCCCAAUUCCUGAGCUUCUUUUGAUUCUGGGGUAAGGAUGGUCUCAGUCUUCAUGGCUUCUUCCUUCAGCAGGCACGUAGGUUUCGGCUUUCUGCACUCUACCAGUCCAGCCACUGUUCCUCCAUAUGCUGUCUUUCCUGCACAAAUUUGCUAAUGUCUCUCUUCCACUCUUGAGAGCUUGUUUGGAGGUUCUAGCAGGAGGGCGUAGCUACUCAUAUACCCUUGACUGAAAACUGGUCCUCCUGUAUCGAGGAUGGCCGUCCUCUUUGACUGAGCAUGCAGCUUUGGGAGGGACACACAUGGAGUUGGGAGGGAGGAAGGGAACACCCACCUAGCCAGCCAGAUCAGCUGAAUCAACCUGGCAAUUGAUGGGGUGACCGAUGUUGCAGCCAGAUCACCUUCACUUCCUCUCUCUUAUUCUUGUGAUCUGCUCUCAUUCUCUUUGUUCUUGAUUACUUAUAUCUAUUUUUUUUUUCUUUUACCAGCAUUUUAGUGAAGCUGCAGAAGUGAGGAGAAAUGAAUAUGGGUUCUAUCUGCCAUGUUUAGCAGGAAGUCAUCACCACAUGUUUUUGACAUCCUGUGCACACCCAUUUUCCCUUGUCAACAAAAAGAGUCAAACGCUAUAAAAUACUUAAAGAGAUUUA
Non-coding RNA from Macaca mulatta (Rhesus monkey), 1336 nucleotides. Lineage: Eukaryota; Metazoa; Chordata; Mammalia; Primates; Cercopithecidae. The record is from RefSeq and is a predicted model, not a curated record.